Molecule: ribosomal RNA, 253 nt
Filed under: uncultured bacterium
Lineage: Bacteria
Description: partial 16S ribosomal RNA
Rfam family: Bacterial small subunit ribosomal RNA
Source: RNAcentral
UACAGAGGUCUCAAGCGUUGUUCGGAUUCAUUGGGCGUAAAGGGUGCGUAGGUGGCUUGGUAAGUUGAAGGUGAAAUCUCGGAGCUUAACUCCGAAACUGCCUUCAAUACUGCCGGGCUCGAGGACUGUAGAGGAGAAUGGAAUUCACGGUGUAGCAGUGAAAUGCGUAGAUAUCGUGAGGAAGACCAGUGGCGAAGGCGAUUCUCUGGGCAGUUCCUGACACUGAGGCACGAAGGCCAGGGGAGCAAACGGG